AAAAUGACUCUCGGCAACGGAUAUCUAGGCUCUUGCAUCGAUGAAGAACGUAGCGAAAUGCGAUACUUGGUGUGAAUUGCAGAAUCCCGUGAACCAUCGAGUCUUUGAACGCAAGUUGCGCCCGAAGCCAUUAGGUUGAGGGCACGUCUGCCUGGGCGUCACAU
RNAcentral lists this ribosomal RNA (164 nucleotides) under Astragalus americanus. RNAcentral describes it as "5.8S ribosomal RNA". It matches the Rfam family "5.8S ribosomal RNA". Rfam says of the family: 5.8S ribosomal RNA (5.8S rRNA) is a component of the large subunit of the eukaryotic ribosome. It is transcribed by RNA polymerase I as part of the 45S precursor that also contains 18S and 28S rRNA. Functionally, it is thought that 5.8S rRNA may be involved in ribosome translocation. RNAcentral also lists the same sequence under 10 other names. Lineage: Eukaryota; Viridiplantae; Streptophyta; Magnoliopsida; Fabales; Fabaceae. The record is from RNAcentral.